CCUACGGGAGGCUGCAGUGGGGAAUAUUGGACAAUGGGGGCAACCCUGAUCCAGCCAUGCCGCGUGUGUGAAGAAGGCCCUCGGGUUGUAAAGCACUUUCAGUGAGGAAGAACGCCUGGUGGUUAAUACCCAUCAGGAAAGACAUCACUCACAGAAGAAGCACCGGCUAACUCCGUGCCAGCAGCCGCGGUAAUACGGAGGGUGCGAGCGUUAAUCGGAAUUACUGGGCGUAAAGCGCGCGUAGGUGGCUUGAUAAGCCGGUUGUGAAAGCCCCGGGCUCAACCUGGGAACGGCAUCCGGAACUGGCAAGCUAGAGUGCAGGAGAGGAAGGUAGAAUUCCCGGUGUAGCGGUGAAAUGCGUAGAGAUCGGGAGGAAUACCAGUGGCGAAGGCGGCCUUCUGGACUGACACUGACACUGAGGUGCGAAAGCGUGGGUAGCAAACAGGAUUAGAUACCCCAGUAGUC
This 465-nucleotide ribosomal RNA is filed under the name Vreelandella stevensii. RNAcentral describes it as "partial 16S ribosomal RNA". It matches the Rfam family "Bacterial small subunit ribosomal RNA", at positions 338 to 795 of the family's 1533-position model. Lineage: Bacteria; Pseudomonadati; Pseudomonadota; Gammaproteobacteria; Oceanospirillales; Halomonadaceae. The record is from RNAcentral.